CAGAUCACCAGAAGUUGGAGCGCGAGGCCAGGAUCUGCCGCCUGCUGAAGCACUCCAACAUCGUGCGGCUGCACGACAGCAUAUCAGAGGAAGGAUUCCACUAUCUGGUCUUUGACUUAGUCACUGGUGGCGAGCUGUUCGAGGACAUCGUUGCCAGGGAGUACUACAGUGAAGCUGAUGCCAGGUCAGUGUGAGCUCUUUCCUUUCUGCGUUACUGUAGACGUGUCAUGUGACUCGCUCUCCCUCGGCAGCAAAGGCGUAUUCAUGCAGCCACAGUGAACUAGAGCAGACACACAAUGACAGCUGAUCACAGUGGAUGUUUGCAAAGCUCAUCAUGCCUCACGUAUGCAUCUAUGCCUUUUGUGCCCCAAACCCUCUGUACCUUUUCUCUGUCCCUUUAUGAGGAGGCUCCUUCCUCAGCUUCUGUUCUGCUUAUUAAAAAUCACCCAUAAAGCAAAUAAUCCAGAGUAGGGAUGGGUAUCGUUUAGGUUAGGUUAG
This is a non-coding RNA of Maylandia zebra (zebra mbuna), 498 nucleotides long. Lineage: Eukaryota; Metazoa; Chordata; Actinopteri; Cichliformes; Cichlidae. The record is from RefSeq and is a predicted model, not a curated record.